CUUUGCUAUCUUAAAUUUUCUCAUCUUUUCAUGAACACUUGAUUAAGGACUUCAACUAACUCCUCCUUUUUAUUCUUCUAAUUUUCUCUAAUAUCCAUUGAACUCUGGAAUGGAUAAAGAUGAAGAAGCAUUGAAUAUGUGUAAACUACUGGAUGGAGCAGCAGAAGAAGGAAGAAGGGUCGUGGCAUCUCGAAUUUCGUGAGGAUUAGGGAACUCGUGAAGAAAUCAGAUGAAGGAGAAGAGACAGAGAGGGUAAAAUAUUAUUAUUAUUAUUAUUAUUAUUAUUGCAUUUGGUACGUUAAAAAUAAUUUUCUUUCUUCUUAUUUAUUUUAUCUUAAAAUCUUUUGGAGUACAUCAAAAGCAAAAGAGGAAAAGUGAAAAAGUGAAAA
Vigna angularis (adzuki bean) is the source of this 389-nucleotide long non-coding RNA. RefSeq lists it as uncharacterized. The transcript has 2 exons. NCBI's taxonomy places the organism in Eukaryota, Viridiplantae, Streptophyta, Magnoliopsida, Fabales, Fabaceae. The record is from RefSeq and is a predicted model, not a curated record.